GGUUGUUUUCCCUACAUGUGGCAGAGCAUGCGGCUGUUAACCGCAGGGUCGUCCGUUCGAGCCGGACUCGAGGAGCCA
This 78-nucleotide transfer RNA is filed under the name Caudoviricetes sp. RNAcentral's name for it is "tRNA-Asn". The record is from RNAcentral. Lineage: Duplodnaviria; Heunggongvirae; Uroviricota; Caudoviricetes.